AGGGCCCGGCCGGAUCCGUGCCGCGGCUGCCGCGAGGUCGCCGGUCCUCGCCGUGCUGUCUCCUCCCCUCAGGAGGCAGCUGUGCUCCGGGGUGAGGCGAGCCUUCCGAACGCCGUCUGCUCUGUGGUGUUCCCGCCGCGGCGCGGCCUGGCAGCGCUCAGCGCCCCUCAUGAGUUCCCUGUGGGCAGGGAGCGGGAGGAGCCCGACCCGCCGGCAGCUACCUGAGCGCGGCGGUGGGAGGGGGUUGGGGAGCGGCUGGAGGCUGCUGGGUGGGCCGGGGAGCGUCCGCAGUGCCGCUGGGGCUUCGAAGGUGUCCCGGAGGAAAAAAAGAGCCAGGCGUGCCAGGAGGAAUAUCUUCUCCAUUUCCUGAUAUGUUUGCGGAGAAAAGACCCACAGCUGUAGGAAAUAAAAGGACACACAUACUUGAAAGACUUCUCGCAUAAAUGUUUUUGAAACCUGCUGAAAACGCUGCAGAAACCCAAGAAUCAGUUACUGUACCGGCUGGGAAGAAAAGCUUUUUCUUCUACAUGGGUAUGUUCUCCUCUGUGUCUUGGCAAGGCCUGCUUUCUGAGCUUCCUGCUAGAAGAGAAGCCAUUUCAGUAGAUGAUGGAUAAUGAGCCCGGCUCAGUUCUCAUGACUAACAAAAUCAUGCCCGUGCUCUCUGUUCCCAACUGUAAGGUUUUUCCAGAGCUCAGCAAGUAGGGAGGACACCAAACCUGAAAAACUGGCCAGCAGGUAACUACAGGUAAACUGAUAAUUUUCUCAACAUCUUCGUCAGAUUUACAAGACAGAUAGACUGUUACCUGAGUACGAUGUGUAUCCUCAAAUCAAGUCUCUCAGCAAAAGCCAUCUGUGAUUUAUUGAGAAGAGAUAUUAUCUCCUUCAUACAUUAAAUUAUUCUGUGAAGUAUUUGGGGGCAUUUCUUGUAUCUAAACUGUCUUGUAUCUUUCACUGUCUUAACUGCUUCUAUGGAAUUUCAGAUUUGCUCUUUGUGAGGAACAGAAGCUUUGCAGCUCUUUCCCCACGUGCUGUUUUUGUUCCCUGAAUGGCCCCAAGUUUCUGCAUAAGUUGUACAAAUCUUUCUUAUAAAUCUCAUAUUUCAUUCUGCUUUAGUAAAGCUGAGAUAUAUCGAUUUAAGAUAAAUGCUUCGUAUUUUUCAGCUAAAAUAAUGAAGUACCAUCUUGAAAUUAUUGGAAAGGUGACAAAAUUGGCUUUAUCAGAUUAUGAAACUGCAGAUAACGGUGGAUAAAUGCAGGUAAAACACAUUUCUCAGAAUCUAAACUUAUAAUUAAAGAACGUUGACCAUAGGCAGUAGAAACAAGUAAAGCAGUAACUUUAUCACAGUGGGAUUUCAAAGAUCCGUAGUAAUUUCACAGUAAGGCAAAUGAAAAAAAAAAGUAUGUUUUCACUGUGCUUGAUGUAUCAUUUAGGAACGUGUUUCCAUUUGUUGCUACCAGACAUUUUAUCUCUUAUGGAAAGCACUUAGAGCUCAAGCAGGAAUAUAUACUUGAGCUAGAAAAGCAAAAAUAUUCAUGCAUGAAUAUAUUUAUAUGAAAAUAUGUAUUGUAAUAUGCAGUCAAAAAAACUACAGGGUCAUAUUUUAUGCUAACGAAAAAGUCUGUUAUCUCUAGAUCACAGAAUUAGAGGCAUCUUGGUUAUAUAAUGAGCAAAAGACUCGCAAGUGAGUCUACAAAGCCAGCAUGGACGUCCUGCCUUGUUUUCAGCCUGGUUUUGGACAGAGACAUGGCCACGCACGGUAUUCCAAAUUCAAUACAACUCUCAGCUACUAAAUGCUGACGUUUUCAAAAUAUACUUAUUUUAGUUGUGUUUAUUUGAUAGGAACAUGGUAUUUGGAAAAUACACAGUGAAUUUGAACAUAAUAUGGUCUUCAUUUGAGCAGCGGGGAAGGUGCACACUGAUGCUACUGUUAGUAGGCCUGGGCUAUUCAUCUAGCCUAUGUUUAAGGAGGUCCCCAUAAAACACAAGUCCUGACCUUAUAGCUGGGUUCACAUAAGGAGGAUCCUUAUGCUUACGGAGCUCUGAUUAAGUCAACAAGGCUAGACAUCGGUACUGAUCCUGUGUGAUUGGAUUAUGGGAUUGAAGCUGUCAUUUGUCCUACUAAACCAACCUAAGUUACUUAAACAGAUAAAUCUAGUUAUCAGAUUUUGUUUCUUAGCAAUAACACUUUCCAAAACGCAAAACAAGCAAACAAAAAGCCCACCCCCUUGCUUUCCUCACGUUUUUACUGGACUGCUUCACCUUUUAGAUUGCAUUAUCACAGAGCGUAUAUAGGACUGCAAAGAUAACAGAAAGAACAACUCCAAGUGCAAAAGUAAUAAAGGUGUUAUUUCCUUUUCCCAUAAAACUGAUAUAAAAUACGUCUCUUUAAUUCCUUCUGAUCCUGCUUAAGCCCACCCCACCACGGGCCCUGUGCUGUUUGACAGAGAUCCUUCUGUAAAGGCAGAUCAGUUUGUAACCGCGUUAUCCCAUGCUGUAAUUCACUCCUCAUCCUGUAUUUCUGGCAAAAUGACUUAACAAAAUUAAACCAGUAAUGUGUUCUUAGCACUUUUUUUUUUCUCGUGAGGUCUGUCCCUGCCCUGAGUUCAUGCUUUGCCUCUCAGGUUUGUGUGUGUUACAGGAGUCCUUACAUGUCAUUGACUGCCAGGGCUGGAGCAUCUGCUGGGAGGUAGAAAUGCAGUUCCUUCCCAGGCAGAUCAGCUGCUGGAUUUGGCAAGCACAGAUGAGUAACAAAAGUUUACCAGAUGUGUUUUAACUGAUAAAUGCAUUCUUUUGUGGCAACUAUAGUAGUGAUAACAACAUACAAAGCACAGUUGAAGCUUUGGACAAUGCUGUUUCAAUAGCAGCCUUCAGAAAAACACACUUCCUGUUGGGGAAAGAGGCUGCUGCUCAAUAGUCGGUUCAGGAACAGCUACAAGGCCUGGUGGGUAUUUUAUGAAAAUACUUCAGAACUGUCUGUAAAUUGGGCAAGUAGCACCGAGCCUUGCUUAAUUGACUGUUAAAAACAAACACAAACAGCAAUCCGGUGAUGGAAAUCUCUGCAGACUUCUAGAUUGCUGGCGUUAGAAACUGAACAGUUUUGCUAAAUAGAAAUUACGUUAUCAACUGCAAAUGAAUUAUUUUAAACCAGAAAGAAAAGUGAGGGAGAGCACUGAAAAUCAUGUUUCAUAAUGUCAGUGCAGACCAGACAGGUGGUAUUUGAAGCAGCAGGCUGUAGGGGACACUUACCUUAAAUCAAAGUGAAGGGCCAAAAAGCACGCUGUAGUCUCUACAGGUGUUCUCACUGAGAGAGACGGCGAACAGAAGAUGCAACCGACCUAAAAUGUACAAACAAGCACUUAGAGAGGUGCUCUCCUGUAUCUCAGAUUGGUACUUAAAUACUUUUCUAUUGUAGGAGGGGAGCAAAGGCCAGAAAGUGGAAACGUCCUGAUUAUUUCUAACUCUGGAAUCAGCCCUGCAUGCUUGCAGUCAGCGUGCAGUACUUGGAAUGCAAGGCUUAAGAUCUGAAAAGCUAUUUAGGAAUCUCUGCUGUAAAAAAUAUGUUUUAUUACAAGAGGCCAGACAGGAACACUGAACUUGGAAGGGUCGUUUGUGAAUAACUUCUAGCUUAAGUGAUUAAAGGCUGCACUCUCCAGCUCCUCCACCCAACCUAAAAAAUGUGUUAGAAACAUCCUGCUUUGUCAUUGCUGCUGGCCUUUUCUUCAGUGAGCAAGAGAGGAGCAUUGGACUUUUGUGUUGGCUUUGGUCCUGUGCCCCUGGGGAUGCUUUUAACAAUGCAUAAUAGCUUAAAGAAUUCUGAAACGUUUUUAUCAUUUCCUUUGAACUGUGAGGAUAAAGAUAAAUAAAGGAGAUUUUGGUAUGCACAGAAAGCAAAUAGACAGCACUUCCUAAGGCUCACAAUAUUUACAAUGUGCUUUUACAAGCACGCUGUAGUACUCGUUAACAGGACCCCAUCCAUUCUCUAUUUUUUAAAAUGGAAGGCAAAGCAUUCCAUGUACUUCUCAAAAGUGUUCUUAUAAAGAAAGAAAAUUACAUCUUUUCUACCCAUUUAGCAUGAUUUUCUUUCCUCUUCUAAAAUUAAACUGUGGCACAAGACUAGACUAACUUAAGUCAGGAAAUACUUUGGAAUUGAAUUCAAUCUGAUUGGUUCAUUAAGGCACGGCAAAGAAAGAAGGUGUAAAAAGCACUGGGUGUAAUUAGCCUGGAGCUCAGCUGGUGGACUCCCAAGGCCAAGCAUAAACACACCUGUGUUCUCACAAAGGUUUUCAAUUUGUUUGCUAUGUGACGAGCACACCUCUCUCAAAUUAUGCCUCUAAAACAAAACAAGAAUAGCCUCUACAUAAUCAGAAACAGGAACUUAAAAGCUAUGUGUACAUCUAUAUGAUAUUUAGAUUGCAACACUGGAAUGAGCAGCAGCACAGUUUGUUCUGUUGAGUACAGACAAAAGAUCCUUUUUUUUAAAGACAUUUAUUUCUGCUUUUAAAUAGCUUGAUAAAACCCACAGUUGGUAUUCAGAGUUAAAAUGUAAACAUUUACAGUAAGUUACCGCUGUGUAUUAAUUCUGUACAUCAAACUAUUUGCAGUGACAAUCCAUAAGACCAGUCAAAUUCAGCAUAUUUAUGAACUGAAAUGCACCAUACUAAGAUAAAACAAUGCCAUAACUGAACAUAUUGGAAAGAUGUUCAACUCCCUCCUGUGGUGUAAGUGAGCAGCAUCACAACCAGCUUCUGGAAGCUCAGACAGCACUCUAAUAACCAAACGCCUGAACUUAGUGCAGUAGGACAACAGAUUUCAAGCUUACUGUGGAAACUCGGAACUUAAAAAGCGUUGGAUUUCUAAAAUACAUACAAAGCUGUAAACAUUUUUCUCUGGAACACACAUUAAAAUGGUUUGUGCCAACCUUCUCUGUCUCCCACAUGGAAAAAAAAGAAUUAGGCCAAAGACUAUAGACUGAAAUUGUUUUGCACGGGUAACAUCACAGCUUGCAGGAAGUGUUACAGUGUCAGCAGUUACAAUUAGUGUUAGUCAGCAGCAGGGAGCACAGCCCAUUUCCAAGAAAGCCGAUGGAAAACUCAUCCACCGAUGGGUCAGGCACUACGCAUUGAUUUACCUACAAAAAUGUAUCACACUCAGGUAUUUAUGUAUUGAAUGGGUGAAACUGACUACAACCAGAAGCCCAAAGCACACCGCUACUUGUAGAGGACUGAUUUUUAGCCAGUUUUGGGCAUCGCAUUCUAACUAUGUGGCUCUUCCAUAAAGAAGGAAGAUGUUCAAAGCAGACUACACUGAGAUGACAGAAGUACCCAGCAUCACGUCAAGGCACAUACUCUUCACACAAGUCUCUCAGGCCAUUAUUAUUAAUUUUUUUUAAGCGUUGAAGUUUUCAAUUUGAUUUCCCCACUAACAAUGAAGAAACUGCUUACUUGAUCUGACUCUUGUGUGACCAGUUCCAAAGAGACCGAGGCCACUGAGCCUUUGGAAUGCAGCACAGAAUUCAUUUCACUUCACAAGGGUUAACUUAAUGCAGGCUAGUAAAGGAGGAUAGCGUCAUUCUAACACUGCCGUAUUAUUUAUUCUCCCAACAACUGUCAGCAGGCAGUUUACCCAUGUCCUUGCAUUCAGUAUACGAGCUGAUCAUCAAUAUUAAUAUUUCCACAAACAAGUUGUUUAUCUGAAAGUUCUGUCAAGUGCAGCUCUUCACUGGGGAUUGAGGCUUUGUAGUCUGAGAUCUCAAGAGGGGAUUAAUCACAAGUAUUUAAAACAAUCCUAAGAAGUUCCUUUUUCCCUGGUUAGGCUGUGCAUCACAGAAAGCAGCACCAGGAUGCACUUUGUAAUGCACACUCUUGAACGUACUCUUAAAACCUCAUGCAAGAUUUUUUUUCAGAAAGUUAUAAUAUUGACUUAAAAAAAAUCAGCCUUGAAGCUGGAAUUGUUGCUUUUCUAAACAUCAGCCACAACGUAUUUGAUGAGCCCUACAUUGCAGCUGCAGUUCUCAUGUGACAGAGGUAAUACAUCUUGCUUUGAAGGGAAAAAGCAGGAAAACAUCCUGCUGGCUCCCUAUUGCUCUGCCAGAUACACCGCUUGUCACACAGCCGAGUCACCCUGUGGAUACUGAAAUCUCUACAUGGUUUCUGUCAAUUUCUUAUUCAUAAUUAAUUGCAGGGGAGUGUUUCUGAAAAGGAACAGAAUUUCAGCAUAUGCUUAUGUUAGAGUUUAUGGGAAGGGAGGAGAAGGCAGUUACAGGUAGGACCAGGCCAUAAUUAAAAAACCAAACAAAAAACCUGGCGAUCAGCUGACAUGUUGGGCAAGUAGGGACAGACUUCUUCCACAAAGGAAAAGAACGUACACUUUUAGCACAUGUAUACGCAUACAUAAGGAGGGAUAAGGGAGGAGAAAAAAGGCAAACUUUGGCAAAGGUUAAGAAAGUGCAGUCUUUACAGUCCUAAAAAAACCCACCAAACGAUAACACUGAGAAAGCAAAAGGCUGAAAGCUACCUACAGUUCCAACUGUCUCGUGGCACAAGACAAUGCACACGAUUCCUAAGAUUGCACUGUCUGUCACCACACUGAGAAUUACACCACCACCUCUACUUCAUUUUGCAUUGUAAUGCCAGAAAGUAAAUAAUAGUUUACAUAAGCAUUCCAACAUCAUACUGUGAUAAUAGGUUUUUUUUUUUUACCCACAUGCAGAGUUCUGUGCACACACAUUUAAAAGUGUAUUUUCUGUUUUUAAGCAGUACACCAUAUAGUCAACUUCCAUUAAGCGUAUGUUUGAGGGAAAGUAUCAGGCAAUUAAUCUAAAUACUUAAUAUUUUCUUAAUUAGUCUUCUAAUGGCAGGAAGAACUCUUUGCUAUGCAGUGCAGGAGGGAUCUGGACGCUGAUCAAUGACCCUUCAAUGAGCAGGAGUUGUUCAGCACAAAUACCCCUUUACAGCAGCAACAGAACAGCAAGGCGUGAGAACGGGAAGUAAAAAGGCAACUCCUGGUUCAGUUUAAGGAUCCCCUGCCCCUUUUAAAUCUUAUCUUUCUGUACUAUAAUCAUCCCAAAACAACCCUAACACCACACGCACUCAGAAAAGCAGUUCCACACCUGACUUUUUGAGGCCACAAAACUCCAUGCAAACCUGAUUCUUAGCUGAGACAUUUUCCAUCUUCUGAGUUAAUGUCAAAACAUUUGUGGGGAGAACAGUGGCCUAAACCACACACUGUGUUUUACUUAUAUAUAGUUACAAAGGACAGAUAUCAUUCUGGCUUACUGUUCUUCCCUAAAGAAGGAGAAAAAAAAAAAAUCCAUUUGAGCAUUGUCUCCACCAGUGAAACAGUUCUAUCAGUGCAAGAAUAGUGCUUUCUAUUUAUGGCCUUCCUGAGCUUAAAGUGCAGUAUAUUACGUGAGAUUUUAGCUUCACAAUUAUCCUUUAUUUGAAUUUCAGAAGGAAUGUUUCGAGUUAGAAAGUUAACUUCUAGGACUUAAGCAAUAAAAUCCAAGACAAAGUACUAUAACCUAUCUUAAAAAUGAAUGAAAUCCACAAGACACUCUUUAAAUUUGAUGUUCAAUAUACAUAUAAUACAUGAAAACCCAUCAUAUCACUUAACUGCAUUGCAUCUGUAUUUAAAGUGAUCCGGUAACAAGGAAUUAAAGGCCACUCAAUACAAGUUUUGCUUAAAACAGGACUAUAUUGCCUGGACUGUGAUACGUAGCAUGGUUCAGGAUUCCCUCCUGCAUAGGCUUAUCAGUAACGAGACAGCCCUUGGCACUGCACUGUGCACACAUUUAACUCUACCAGUGGCUUCCCUCAUUUUUCCUUUUUUCUUUUUUGAAAUGAUCACUAAUAGUAGACAAGUUAAAAACUGCAUUGGUAAUGUUAUGCCUUUAGCUAUUCCUCUUGCCCAUUAACAUUAUAAUACUAAGAAACUUUUGUUUUAUGCAACUCUGGUUCCCAAAGAUACGUAGCUCCCAAAUGAUGUACAGCAGGGAAGGGAAUCUUCCAGGCUAUAGGUUCUCUACAUAGGAAGUUUGAGCAAUCAGCUGUGACUGCGUUUGAGUACAGCUUUACAAAAACAACCAAGGCAGCCCACCACGCAGGAAGAGUAUUUCUGUACUGGUGCAGCUACUGAGAGAAAUCAAGUUGCAGUUACACAAUUUCUAUUUUUUUAAGCAGCCAAGCCAGCUUUAACAGGCUCCAGCUCCAUUCCCCAUCUUCAUCCCUUUACCCACAGCUCUGCCAGCUGUUCUUGGGAUUCAUUUGCAUACAGACAACCGUUAACAUCAUCACUCAAAUAAGCUACAGGCUUCUGGGGGAAAGUGUCUCUGUGCCUUAUAUUUGGGGGUUUUAGAUCCAUAUUUACUUAAGCAAUCUUGAUUCACAAAGCAGUACUACCACUGCAAAGGUGAAAAACUGCAGUAGUGGAGAUGGGAGUGAAUAGGACGAGCUGUUUGACUAGAAGGAAACUAUUGCUGUCAAGAUAUUUACAUACAGUACACAAUCUAUUGUUACUUUAAAGCUUCUGGUAAUUUUGAGACUGGGAGUCGUAGCCAAAAGUCUGGAAGUUUAACACUUAAAACUUUAACAGUUUAACACGUGAGGGAAAAGGUUAUUUUCUAAAUUAAAGCAAAUGGCUUUUUAUUUCUUCUAACAUCCAGAAGAAAUAAUCAGCCAGUUGGGAUAAUACAAACAAAGCACACCAUGUAACAGAGGAAUUACUAUACCUGACUCUCAGCUCUACAGUAAAGUCAGUCCAGCACGUCCCCCUACCAUGCUGCUAACCAGCAUCUCACCUUCAUAGUCAAGGACUUUUCUAUGCUGGUGUGUUUAAAAAUAAGAAUUAGAAACACGCCUAGCUUUUCAGAUGAAUGCAGUUGAAACUAAAUACCACAUCUGCUUUGAAGUGAAGUAAGUUAGAUAGCAAAAGUGACACUUAGCCUGUCAGUCACUGGUAUGAGUUUCAUCCCCAUUAAAUCCCUACUUGUGACUCAGAGUGAGGAGUUAGCUGAAGACACAUGCUAACCAGCCACAUCAGCACCUCCCUUUUCAGGCAAGUCCACAGAGCACACUGAACCUACCUAUAACAAAACUCCCUUCAUUGAGAAUGUUGGACACAAA
This is a long non-coding RNA of Gallus gallus (chicken), 9119 nucleotides long. RefSeq lists it as uncharacterized. NCBI's taxonomy places the organism in Eukaryota, Metazoa, Chordata, Aves, Galliformes, Phasianidae. The record is from RefSeq and is a predicted model, not a curated record. The transcript is spliced from 2 exons.